This 253-nucleotide ribosomal RNA is filed under the name uncultured bacterium. Its description in RNAcentral is "partial 16S ribosomal RNA". It matches the Rfam family "Bacterial small subunit ribosomal RNA", at positions 524 to 776 of the family's 1533-position model. The record is from RNAcentral.
GACGAACCGUGCGAACGUUGUUCGGAAUCACUGGGCUUAAAGGGCGCGUAGGCGGUUUGCCAAGUCAGGGGUGAAAUCCUGCAGCUCAACUGUAGAAGUGCCUUUGAUACUGGCGAACUCGAGGGAGGUAGGGGUGCGCGGAACUUCUGGUGGAGCGGUGAAAUGCGUUGAUAUCAGAAGGAACGCCGGUGGCGAAAGCGGCGUACUGGACCUUUUCUAACGCUGAGGCGCGAAAGCUAGGGGAGCAAACGGG